AAUCCAGGUGGAGAGGAAGCUGCUGUAGCUGUUCCCAGCAAGGGAGCCCUCCGGCCACCUUCAGUGGCAGCCAUGAGGAGUUGCCCCUCUGUAUCCGUUUGAGAAGAUGAGAAGAAACCUCAGCGUGAGACGCACAGGCACAAGCGCGACACGCGCCCCGGCCGGCCUGCCCGCCACCAGCCCUGGGCACAGCGAGCUGGGAGCCGCCUCCACCCCUCCUCCUGGUUAAUUACGGCGCCUGCUGGCAGGCCUGCUGAGGGGCAGCUCCCACUAAUGGUGCGUUAUUCCAGACCUGGGGGCUUCUCUUCACCCAUGAGAGGGACCAGGAGAAGCUUUGAGGAGUCAUUUAAGACAUUUCUGCUGGAGAAUAAUUAUUUUCCCUCGGGCUUGGCCUAGCAAACAGGGUCAUCACCUUUCAUGUAGUGGAGGGAAGCUGCUCAGGGAAGGCAGCUGCUGCUGGGGACAGGGGGCAGGCACGUGGCGCUGCUUGAGAACGUGGGCCGGCCCUCCCAUCUCGCCUCAAAUUAGUCACUCCUGCCCUAGCAGGACCAGGAGGUCCUGAGUCCCAGCCCCAGUGGCCCUGCAGGUCUUAGUGAAUGUCUCCAAACGUGUGGGAGAGGGCUCCAGUCUGGUUCCCAGCAGCCACAGAAACCCUGUGGCCCACAGACCUCUGCCCACCACCAGGGUCCCCACCUCAGGCUCCUGGAAGCCUGGUGACCACGGAGGCCCAGACACCACACAGCUCAGGUGAGAUGAACAGCCCUGAAGCCAUUUGCCUCUGAGAGUAUCUGAAACGUGCCAACGUUACCAUCUCUGGUUUCUUUGUCAAGUGGACGUCAUUGUUCUACCUUCAAACGGUUCAGGGGCACUGGAUGAGAUAAAGUGGGUGAAGGGCCUGGUGGUGCUGGCACGGGUGUUCUCUGGCUGGGUGCUCACCUGCCGCUCUGCCCAGCCUCGCCAAUGCUUUGGUCCAGGGCAGACCCAGCUUAACCGUAGCUGUGAGGACAGCAGGAAUGUGUUCUAGUGGAUUCUGUCCACAAGGACAGUCAUCAAACUGUGACGAGAUGCUACCACAGUGGAGACUGCUUCCAACAAGGUCCCAGGCCCUAUGUCAGGGAGCAGGCUCCACACGUGAGUGGCAAGGUCCUGCUACUGUAGAAACCAGGUGGCUGGGAGUUUCUUCCUCCAGCUCCCCCGGGUUGCGCUGAAUUAGAUCAGGAUAGCUCCUGGCCUCAUUGUGUCCUCCCUCUGGACAAAGCCUGUCCACAGACCUGGGUAACUCAGCCCAGGAGCUGUCCCUUUUGUCUGAUUGAGUUGUCAACAUUGAAAGUCGAGGUAUGUCACAGGAAAGUCCAGCUAGACACUAUGAGGAGAUGCAAGGGCAGAGGGUGGGAGACUACGUCACCCUUAAGAAGCUUCCAGAGAAAGGACACAAGAGACCACCUCAGCCUUGUGGAGCCUAAGAAGACUUGGUGGGAUGUGGUACCCUGCAGCGGACCUUGGGACAGAAAAAGAACUUUGGGUAAAACCUAAGGAAAUCAGAGCAAACUAUAGACUUAAUGUACAGCACCAAUACCGGCUUAUUAAUGGUAACGAAUGUUCCAUAUCAAGGUGGGAUGUUGAAACGGGGGAAGCUGGGUGUGAAGUGCACACGGAAACUGUGCCAUCAUCUCAAUCUGUCUGUAAAUCUUAAACUGUUGGAGCAAAUUAAAGUCCACUUAAAAAAAUAAAGACAUGCAUAGGCAAA
Marmota flaviventris (yellow-bellied marmot) is the source of this 1747-nucleotide long non-coding RNA. RefSeq lists it as uncharacterized. The record is from RefSeq and is a predicted model, not a curated record. Lineage: Eukaryota; Metazoa; Chordata; Mammalia; Rodentia; Sciuridae.